This 74-nucleotide transfer RNA is filed under the name Candidatus Berkelbacteria bacterium CG2_30_43_20. RNAcentral's name for it is "tRNA-Gly". It matches the Rfam family "tRNA". Rfam says of the family: Transfer RNA (tRNA) molecules are approximately 80 nucleotides in length. RNAcentral also lists the same sequence under 2 other names. Lineage: Bacteria; Candidatus Berkelbacteria. The record is from RNAcentral.
GCGGGUGUAGUACAAUGGUAGUACGCAUGCUUCCCAAGCAUGAUACGGGAGUCCGAUUCUCCUCGCCCGCUCCA